This is an RNA transcript of Myxocyprinus asiaticus (Chinese sucker), 6362 nucleotides long. It is a transcript of the gene named insulin receptor substrate 2-B-like, with no coding region annotated. Lineage: Eukaryota; Metazoa; Chordata; Actinopteri; Cypriniformes; Catostomidae. The record is from RefSeq and is a predicted model, not a curated record. The transcript is spliced from 3 exons.
UUUCAAUCACUCGUCUCGCCCAAUCGGACGCCUCGUCGUUGCGUCCUCCCACCCACAGGCGAAUGACGCACGAGUCAUGUGUUGUUUGUGCUGUGCUCAGUAGUGUACACAGGGUGCGAAGAGCAGAUUGGUAGCUCGCUAGGAGGAUCUACCGAUAAUAGAACGGGUAAAUGUGGUCAUGCUGCAGUCGCUGGCAUUGAGUUCGUGGAGCAUUGGCUGGAAUACCUGCUUUUCAUGUGGCGGCCGGGAGAAGCGCAACACUGAAAAGACUUAAACCCCCCCAAACAAAAAUGGGGUCUCGGUCUGUGAGCCUAAGGUGAAGUCUCUCUUAUCUAAUGGCAAAUUUAGCAAAUUCCCAAGUAGGCAAAGCCGCUAUGUUGAUGCUGGAAACGCAACAGAGGGCUCUGGGAACUAACCGUGCAGCAGCUGCGACGGCGAACGGCGGGGAACCCCCUUCCGUACUGGAUGUCAGCGGCGCUGGUUUUCAUCAACAACGCUCACCGCCCUCCGAUCAUCAGCCGGGUGAAGCACAUCAACAACAGUGUCGCUACCGGCAACACGCUGCCCAUGAAAACAACCUGGAAUCACCGGCGAGGAAGGGGUCCACGUACUCUUUAAACCGGGCACAUGAGGACUCGGCCGGUAGUUCGAGCAACACACACGCUACCUCUGCUGUGAACGCCAGUCCCGCUGUUGCGGACGACAUCAGAAAGUGCGGCUACUUAAGAAAGCAGAAACACGGCCAUAAGAGGUUUUUUGUCUUGCGGGCGUCGAGUCAUUUAGGGCCGAGCAGACUGGAAUACUACGAUAGCGAGAAGAAAUUUCGUAACACCCUUUGCUCGACCGCCGCCGGAUCCUCAGCUUCAUCUGGCGGGGCUGCGGUGAGCGCCUCUCCUCCGAAAAGGGUGAUAUAUCUCUACCAGUGCUUUACUGUCAAUAAAAGGGCGGAUUCUAAGCAUAAACAUCUCAUUGCUCUGUAUACCAAGGAUGAAUACUUCGCGAUUGUCGCCGAGAAUGAACAGGAGCAAGAGGAGUGGCACCAGGCGCUCAGCGAGCUCAUGAGUGAGGGCAAGAGAUGCCACCUGGACGCUGAGGAGAUUGAUGACGGCUAUGGUACUGUAACUCCUGGCACUGAUUUCAAAGAAGUGUGGCAGGUGAAUGUUAAACCAAAGGGCUUGGGCCAGACUAAAAAUCUAACCGGUGUGUAUAGGCUCUGUCUGUCUGCUGAGAGCAUACAUCUGAUGAAGCUGAACUCUGAGACGCCUUGUGUGAACUUGCAGCUUAUGAACAUACGGCGCUGUGGCCAUUCAGAGAGCUUCUUUUUCAUAGAGGUCGGCCGCUCCUCUUCUAUAGGACCUGGGGAGGUUUGGAUGCAAGUGGACGAUUCUGUGGUGGCUCAAAACAUGCAUGAAACCAUUCUGGAGACCAUGAAGGCCCUCAAGGCAUUUGCCGAGUUCAGGCCGAGAAGCAAAAGCCAGUCGUCUGGCUCCAACCCAAUGGGUUUUAUCACCACACGGCGACACCUGGGCAACCUGCCGCCCAGUCAGACGGGGCUCCAGCGGCGGUCUCGGACCGAGUCUGUGGUGGGCACUCCACCCAGCAGGAAGAGCAAUGGAGCGAGCGGGUACAGAUUCCGCACCUCCAGUGAGGGAGAAAGCACCAUGAACCGCCCGUUUCGCUCUGUGACAGGUAGCCUUAUUCAUCUCAACACAGCCCGUGCUAACCUGAGCCGCCAGGAAAGUAGCAGUGGGGCUGGAGCUCGCUACAUUCGUGCUCUGCCAGGCUCCACCCAUCAUGCACGUUCGGCCUCGCUGCCAGUCUCGCAUUUCCCCUCGACCACCAGCCCAGUCAGCAUGUCCAGCAGCAGUGGGCAUGGCUCUGUGACCGACACCAUUACUCGCCCCUCCAGCGCAUCCAUUUGUGGAUCCCCGAGUGAUGGAGGUUUCAACUCCUCUGAUGAGUAUGGCUCCAGCCCUGGAGACCUCCGCUACUUCAGAGUGCGCAGCAACACCCCCGAGUCUCUGGGAAACACGCCACCCAUCCGUGAGGAGCACUGCCUCAGUGACUACAUGGCAAUGGGAUUUAACCGUGAUGUGUUCGGAACGGGCACAGGUGAGGUGGCCCGUGAUGAGAGUACCGACGAAGAUUCACGACCGGGGUCGUUAAGGAGGCGGACACCCUCCUUCUCCAGGCAGGUUGGGGGCGCUAGUGCUGCUGGAGUGGCUGUUUAUCAGAAGAUGACCCAGACCACCUUCUCGCUGGACGAGGCUGUGGUUGAGGAUAGCUCUUGGAGUGCCAGUGCCCAGACCAUCUCUAACUCCUCCUCCCUCUGCUCUGACUACAGCUCUAGUUCGGAACACAGCCAAGACCGCCCCCCUAUGUUACGGCCUGCAGAUGCCCCUAAAGAUGAUGGCUACAUGCCCAUGAUGGCAGGUGUGCUGCCCUCCACCAGUGAUGCAGACUACAUGCUUAUGCAACCAAAAAUCCUCCUCUCUGGCUCUCCACAAGUCCAAAGUGCUGCUUUACCUGUUCCCCAGCACAUGGACUCUCAAGGCUAUAUGAUGAUGCUCCCCGGUAGGAGUGGGGCUACUGACUCCCCCGCACCUUCCAGCCUUGACUCUAGCAGACGAGAAGAUGGACGUAGAGCCUCAAAUCGUCCUGAGAAUGGCGAAUACAUGGAUAUGUCUCAGAACACCCCCACAGCUAAUGCUCAAAGGGUUUCUAAUGAGAAUUACUAUGCCUUGACCACUCCUGUGAUCCCCAAGUCCUACAGUCCAUAUUUCUCCCUCCCUCGCUCAUAUAAAGCUCCAUCCAGAGACCAGCCUGAGCACGACGAGUAUGUUCCCAUGAGUUCACCAUCUAAAUCGGUCUGCACCCCAGAUCGUAGUAGCAUGUGCCCACCUUCUGAAGCUCUGCAUCAUAAUGGCUGCACAGACCGCCGAGCAGUUCGGCCGAACCGCCUACCCCUGGUAAGGCGGAGCUUGCACGGCAUUCUGGGAACAGGUGAAACACCAGUGCGCCCUUCCAGCCCUGGAGAGUACAUCAAUAUUGAAUUUGGGGAUCGGCCCACAUAUCCUGCAUGUCCAUUGUCUGGUGAAGGCCCCACCUCAACCCUCAAUAUCUGCAGGGAACAACGUAAGUCCCCCCUGCCACAGGACUACAUGACUGUCGAGGUAGGUGGUCUUCCACCAAAGAGUCGGUCCCCAAGGACCUCACUGGUGGCCCCCUGGAAUCCUCCUUCAUAUGUCCGGCCCACCUCAUCCUCUCACUGCAGUUUGACUGUGGGAAAACCUGACGACUACACAGAAAUGUCCUUUGCAGCUGGGGAGGAGACUAAGAGCCCUACAGAUAUGCUUGAGCGCCUGUGUAUCCUGGAACGACAGUUUUUCCCUUUCACUCCCCCAAUGGAGCCCAGGGUUGUCCGUGCUGAUCCUCAAGGCAGGCGGAGACACAGCUCAGAGACCUUUGUGACAUCAGCAGCAGCAUCAGGUGGAAGCGGGCUGGAUGCCAAUGGCACAGUGCCUAGCAGCAGUCAACAGGUGGGGCGCAAUAUGUGUCAGAACUCUGUGUCUUAUGACAGCGUUUGGACAGACAGUGUGACACCUAGCAGUGAGGUGACACCAGGAACCUCCUCUGUGAGGCCUGGAAGGACUUUACCUGCAGAACACCAGAAUGGCCUAAACUACAUUGCCCUAGACCUGAGAGAUGACCUCCGGCCUGGAAACACUCAUGAUGCGAUUUCCUUGGCAUCGUCCAGUGCUCCACCUCCAGAGAAUGGUGCCUAUGCCAGUAUAGAUUUAAUCAAAUCUGAGGUGCUUACAGCAGCAUCUAAAGAGUGACCCGCUUAUACCCGCCCCAACAACAUUACUCAACCAAUGGCGUGAGUUUGGGGUGGAAAUAUCUGACAGAUGAGUGAGAGAAUUCGACUGAGGACUGUCCCAUCAAGUUCUUGCAGAGAUGCCGGAUAACGUGAUGGCCCUAGCACACUGCACACCCUGCGGUACAACACAAGGAUCCUGCAAUUUCUUUUGAUUGACUUUUGUUUUUUUAUUAUUGUUCAAUGUGCUGUCUCAGAGCGGAGACUUUCCUGUAUGAGUUCAGUGCUUUGUGAUUUGGAACUCAAUAUUUAAUUUGCUGCAUAAAAAGGGAGGUCCACAUAUAUAGACACCAUAAUCCAUGAGUCUGGUUUGGGCAGGUGCAUGCUGUUUACAAGCAUCACUAAUAUGUACAAACUGUAUUUAUUUCCCAUAAAGAUUUCAGGUGCAAUUACAGAUUUUAGUGUUUGUUUACAGUUUGCUUUAGCAGAGAAAGCAUAUAUUGAAAUGGUACGGACUGCAUUUUUAUUAAUGUCUCGCACAUCUUAAAGUUUGGACCGUAGAAACCUCCUUUUCGUACUAGCUGUUCCUCAAUAUGUGUGAGUGCCAGGAUAGUUGCCUCCUGCUUACCCUGUGCUGGGCCCUGGUGUGUUUUCGGUGCCGUCAUGGUUUGUGGCACAGUCAAAACAGGCCUUUCGUCUCUCUUCCCUUACAAAUUUUCAACCAUCAUCUCCUCUUUGCCAAGUGCUCAGGAGAGACGGAUUGAGAGGGAGGGUUGCAGAAAAAGAGGUAGGGUCUAUUCUGGGACUACCCAAGAUGCCAGAUGAUAUCUGCUACAGUUGCUAAAAUGCCACCAGGAUGAGCACAGAGUUGAUUACACAAUCAAAAUAAAUAUAAAUGAGUUCUCUAGUUACUUAUUUGGUACCUAAAACAAAGAAACUGUAAAAGAAGAAGCCCUUCUGCAAACCUUUGUGGACAAAUAGCACAAAAUCCAAGUAUAAAAAGCCGAAUUUUGACAGUAUAAACCAUUAUGCAUGCUUAUGGCAAGACUCCACUAAAAUGAUACCUUUUAGGUUUAUACUCUAUAAGAUUGACACAACAUUUCAUUUAUAUUAUAUUUAUAAUUUAUUAUAUUUAUAAUUUUAGUAUUAACCAAUCGGUGGUUUAUUUCAUUGCCUCUCUCCCCUCAGUAUUGUGCUCUCUUUAUGUCACCCUUUGAUCAGGUUAUUCUUUCAGGAAGUGGAGAAAUGGUACAGUUCAUGCAGAGAGCUAAAAAAAUACUGUGGUCAAUGGCAGUGUUUUCUGCAUUGAAAAAAUAUGCUAGAGAAGAGAGAGAACAAAGGAGUGAUAUGCACACUACUAACUCUGCAGAUUUAGGUUGAAUCGCCUUGGUUACAUAGAAACAAGUUUGUUUUUAUAUUUCCCCGUUACUGCAACAUGUUUGAAAAGACAGAAUCAAAUGUGAAUAGCUUAAUACUUGUGACAGAAAAAAUGCAAAAGACAAAAUAUGGUACGGUCUUCAUUGUUAUGGUGUCAAUGGUAUGAAAGAUAUGAAAAUGUGUUCUGCAUUUCAAAAAUGAUCAGCAUUUCUGGUUAAAGGAACCAUUCCACACGGACAAUUACAAAAUGAACAACUUAACUAGCACAGAUUAUUACAGUCCAGCAGUGGUGUUGUGAAAACGUGGUUUUACCAAACAUACAAAACUAUAUUUAAGACCCAAAAUUGCCUCUAUAUAAUGAAAAUUAGAUUUUAAACAAAAGGGUACGGGAUAGUCUUUUUUGUUUGUUUGUUAGUAACUGUGAGAUUGACCUCUAAAAAUGCUUUUACAAAGAAACAAAUUCCUGUCAAAUGCAAAAAAAAAAAAAAAAGCUUUAAAUCAGCCAAAUUGUUAUAAACUCAGCCUUUUGCUAAUGUAUGUGAUCAAGUUGACUGCUGUUUUGCCACGAUUUUCAUUGAGUUACCAUCUUUAUACAUUACAUUUUUUAUUUGGAACUUGAUUCAAGUGAUUGCAUAGUACAGAUGUGCAGUGGUAUGGUAUUAAUGUUUUCCCCCUUAUUUUUUUUUUCUUUUAUAGUUAUAAUAGCUUGGCUAAUCUUUUUGGAAUCUUUCUGUAAGGGAAUUUAGUUUACUCCGCAUCAUUUCAAAAUCAAAGAGAAGGGGGACGUUGGGGCUUCCCUUUCCUGUGUAGUCUUUUUGUAAUCUUGUUAAACCUGACUAACAUUUUGGUACACUUGCAUUCUGUUUGCUGUUGUUUUUCCAAGUCCAAGCUUGACGGUUGGCAAAGUUGGAGGUCAGCCCUCCAGAAGCAGUCUGAGAGAAAAUACAAAAAAGGAAAAUCUUUAAGCAUCUUUUUAUGGCUGUGUCCAUGUGUACAUACUGAUACUUUAUUUUAUUGUUUUCCUGCAUUUGAUUUGAAAUUUGCUUUUUCCUCUGGUGGGAAAAAGAGAGUGAUAGCAGGUAAAUAAUUUGAGCAUUGCUUAGUGUUUGUAUUUCUUUUUUUUUGCUUUCAAUAGAGCUAUUGCAAUAAAAAAAAAGUUCCUGUAACA